CGGGGCGUAGCGCAGCCAGGUAGCGCACCUGCCUUGGGCGCAGGGGGUCCCCAGUUCAAAUCUGGGCGCCCCGA
Molecule: transfer RNA, 74 nt
Filed under: Acidobacteriota bacterium
Lineage: Bacteria; Pseudomonadati; Acidobacteriota
Also listed under: 1 other name
Description: Acidobacteria bacterium (anaerobic digester metagenome) tRNA-Pro
Rfam family: tRNA
About the family: Transfer RNA (tRNA) molecules are approximately 80 nucleotides in length. Their secondary structure includes four short double-helical elements and three loops (D, anti-codon, and T loops). Further hydrogen bonds mediate the characteristic L-shaped molecular structure. tRNAs have two regions of fundamental functional importance: the anti-codon, which is responsible for specific mRNA codon recognition, and the 3' end, to which the tRNAs corresponding amino acid is attached (by aminoacyl-tRNA synthetases). tRNAs cope with the degeneracy of the genetic code in two manners: having more than one tRNA (with a specific anti-codon) for a particular amino acid; and 'wobble' base-pairing, i.e. permitting non-standard base-pairing at the 3rd anti-codon position.
Source: RNAcentral